Long non-coding RNA from Carassius auratus (goldfish), 1498 nucleotides. RefSeq lists it as uncharacterized. NCBI's taxonomy places the organism in Eukaryota, Metazoa, Chordata, Actinopteri, Cypriniformes, Cyprinidae. The record is from RefSeq and is a predicted model, not a curated record. The transcript has 4 exons.
UCCUCAGCACAAUGAAGAUGGUGUCCAGAAAUUCAAUCAGCUUGGAGAAGUAGUACCACCACAGCACUUUCGCUACCUAUCAGUCUUCAUGCAGACCCUGACACUGAAGACGAUAACCUGCAGACCAGACUGAUGAUAUCAACUACCAAACACACGAAACACAACAUUAGACUUGUCGAGGUCGUGUCUUCACUGUGUCUGCACUGAGAGUUAAAGACACAGAAGCUGUUUGUGUGAGAGUCACACACUGUCUGAGGAGGAGGCAGUGUUCUCAACUUCUUCUGAAGAGAGGGACAGACGGUUUAAGGUGCGUAAAAUGAAUUCCAUCAAGAUAUCUUUAUUUUUACUAAGACUAAAAUAAUGUUUAUUUUUGUAGAUGCUGAAAUCCAGAGACAAGAAAACUUUAUUCUUAUUAGACUGAUGUAAGUUAUUUUUUUUAGAAAAUUAAUGUUUCAGUUGUGUCCUUGCCUGUUUAAUUCACAUUUUGAUGCAACAACAGUGUGAUUAUAUGUUCAUAUUUUAUUGAAACCAUUGAUGUCCCUCUUUGCAGAACUCAAACUAACUUUGGAGUUAAGGGAACAGAAGUCUGCUUGUGUGAGGAGGAGGUUUUGUCAGCUUCUUUGGAAGAGAGGGAAAGAUCGUUUAAGCCAAGUAAACUUCAUAAUUUCAUGUUAUCAGUUGUGGUUGUUGUUGUUUUUUUUACUAAGAGUAAAUUAAUGUUUGUUUGUUUUGUUUUUGUAGAUGUUAAAAGCCAGAGACAUGGGAGAAUCAUUCUUUUGAGAUUGAAUGCAAGUUAUUUUUAGAAAAUAAAUGUUUCGGUUGUCUCCUGCCGGUUUACUUCACAUUGUGAUGAAACAACAGUAUUAUUACGUGCUCAUUUAAUUAAAACCAUUGAUGUCUGUGUUUUUCAUUGCAGAACUCAAACCAACUUUAGAGUUGUCUGAUUUGGAGAGUCAUCAUUCUUGGUCUUCCUUCUUAAAGGCCACUAAUGAAGAGCAGGCGGUGACUGGGAUGAAUGCUGGUCUGAGAAGAGAACUUCCUUUCCUCUAAACUGAUACAGCAGUGGUUUUAAAGGAGAACGCUGCCCUGAAUGAUGUAGAUGAUAUCACAUGUGCUGAUGGGGCUUCUUCAUGACUACAUCAAUUAUGCUAAAGAGAUCAUGAAAGUUUACAUUGAUGCAUGAUCUGUAUUCAUGGACUAUGAAACAAACUGUAAGUGCAUCACUUGUAAAAACAAUGUUAAAUGCGUUUUCUGUGUUGUUUAGUAGAAGAAUUUACACUCUGUCAUUCAUACACAUGCUCACUCAUGUUAAUGUUGAGGUUUAUUUGUGUACUGUCAUGCUAGAAUAGUUGGUAAAGAACCUAACUAAUUUAUUGUAUAAUAGUGAUUUUGUAUAUUUUUAUACAAAAUAUAAAAUGUAACAGCCCAAUUUGAUCUCAAAGGGGGGGUGAAAUGCUAUUUCAUGCAUACUGAGUUUUUUAUACUGUUAAAAAGUUGG